This 167-nucleotide ribosomal RNA is filed under the name uncultured bacterium. RNAcentral describes it as "partial 16S ribosomal RNA". It matches the Rfam family "Bacterial small subunit ribosomal RNA", at positions 365 to 525 of the family's 1533-position model. The record is from RNAcentral.
AUAACUAUGUGCGCAGCCUGAUGCAGCCAUGCCGCGUGUAUGAAGAAGGCCUUCGGGUUGUAAAGUACUUUCAGCGGGGAGGAAGGGAGUAAAGUUAAUACCUUUGCUCAUUGACGUUACCCGCAGAAGAAGCACCGGCUAACUCCGUGCCAGCAGCCGCGGUAAUA